UGCAUGUCUCAGUGCAAGCCGCAUUAAGGUGAAACCGCGAAUGGCUCAUUAAAUCAGUUAUGGUUCCUUAGAUGGUGGACAGUUACUUGGAUAACUGUGGUAAUUCUAGAGCUAAUACAUGCAACUCGGUCCCGACCGGAGACGGAAGGGACGCUUUUAUUAGAUCAAAACCAAUCGGUCCUMGCGGCCGUUUGCCUUGGUGACUCUGAAUAAAUUGUGGCAGAUCGCACGGUCUCCGUACCGGCGACGCAUCUUUCAAAUGUCUGCCUUAUCAACUGUCGAUGGUAGGUUCUGCGCCUACCAUGGUUGUAACGGGUAACGGGGAAUCAGGGUUCGAUUCCGGAGAGGGAGCCUGAGAAACGGCUACCACAUCCAAGGAAGGCAGCAGGCGCGCAAAUUACCCACUCCCGGCACGGGGAGGUAGUGACGAAAAAUAACGAUACGGGACUCAUCCGAGGCCCCGUAAUCGGAAUGAGCACACUUUAAAUCCUUUAACGAGUAUCCAUUGGAGGGCAAGUCUGGUGCCAGCAGCCGCGGUAAUUCCAGCUCCAAUAGCGUAUAUUAAAGUUGUUGCGGUUAAAAAGCUCGUAGUCGGACUUGUGUCCCACGCUGCCGGUUCACCGCCCGUCGGUGUCUAACUGGCAUGCACGUGCGGACGUCCUGCCGGUGGCCCGAUUCCGGCCCGUUUUUCCCGGGGUGCGGAAACGUACCCCCGGGGGCCGGUGUCUGGAUAGGGCCUACUCAUACCCGUCGCGGUGCUCUUAACUGAGUGUCUCGAUGGGCCGGCACGUUUACUUUGAACAAAUUAGAGUGCUUAAAGCAGGCAGCAGCCGCCUGAAUACCGAGUGCAUGGAAUAAUGGAAUAGGACCUCGGUUCUAUUUUGUUGGUUUUCGGAAUCCCCGAGGUAAUGAUCAAUAGGGACAGACGGGGGCAUUCGUAUUGCGACGUUAGAGGUGAAAUUCUUGGAUCGUCGCAAGACGGACCGAAGCGAAAGCAUUUGCCAAGAAUGUUUUCUCUGAUCAAGAACGAAAGUUAGAGGUUCGAAGGCGAUCAGAUACCGCCCUAGUUCUAACCAUAAACGAUGCCAGCCAGCAAUCCGCCGAAGUUCCUCCGAUGACUCGGCGGGCGGCUUCCGGGAAACCAAAGCUUUUGGGUUCCGGGGGAAGUAUGGUUGCAAAGCUGAAACUUAAAGGAAUUGACGGAAGGGCACCACCAGGAGUGGAGCCUGCGGCUUAAUUUGACUCAACACGGGAA
RNAcentral lists this ribosomal RNA (1255 nucleotides) under Punctulonicus sp. MD-2022. RNAcentral's name for it is "SSU rRNA". Lineage: Eukaryota; Metazoa; Arthropoda; Insecta; Blattodea; Blattidae. The record is from RNAcentral.